This 594-nucleotide ribosomal RNA is filed under the name Rhodotorula glutinis. Its description in RNAcentral is "eukaryotic LSU rRNA". It matches the Rfam family "Eukaryotic large subunit ribosomal RNA", at positions 49 to 655 of the family's 3401-position model. The record is from RNAcentral. Lineage: Eukaryota; Fungi; Basidiomycota; Microbotryomycetes; Sporidiobolales; Sporidiobolaceae.
AGCGGAGGAAAAGAAACUAACAAGGAUUCCCCUAGUAGCGGCGAGCGAAGCGGGAAGAGCUCAAAUUUAUAAUCUGGCACCUUCGGUGUCCGAGUUGUAAUCUCUAGAAGUGUUUUCCGCGUUGGACCGCACACAAGUCUGUUGGAAUACAGCGGCAUAGUGGUGAAACCCCCGUAUAUGGUGCGGACGCCCAGCGCUUUGUGAUACACUUUCAAUGAGUCGAGUUGUUUGGGAAUGCAGCUCAAAUUGGGUGGUAAAUUCCAUCUAAAGCUAAAUAUUGGCGAGAGACCGAUAGCGAACAAGUACCGUGAGGGAAAGAUGAAAAGCACUUUGGAAAGAGAGUUAACAGUACGUGAAAUUGUUGGAAGGGAAACGCUUGAAGUCAGACUUGCUUGCCGGAGCUUGCUUCGGUUUGCAGGCCAGCAUCAGUUUUCCGGGGUGGAUAAUAACGGUUUGAAGGUAGCAGUCUCGGCUGUGUUAUAGCUUUCCGUUGGAUACAUCCUGGGGGACUGAGGAACGCAGCGUGCUUUUUGCGAAAGACUCGUCUUUUUCACGCUUAGGAUGCUGGUGGAAUGGCUUUAAACGACCCGUCUU